Molecule: RNA transcript, 1322 nt
Organism: Asparagus officinalis (garden asparagus)
Lineage: Eukaryota; Viridiplantae; Streptophyta; Magnoliopsida; Asparagales; Asparagaceae
Gene name: pentatricopeptide repeat-containing protein At1g61870, mitochondrial-like
Exons: 3
Source: RefSeq, a predicted model, not a curated record
CCGUCGACGAUGCCGCCUCCGCCUUCCGCUCCCACCCCUCCACCCAAACCGCUGCAACUCCCUCCUCUUCGCCUCCAUCCUCCCGCGACCACCCGCCGCCGCCAAGUUCUUCACCGACCUCGUUGAGCCCUACAACAUCGUCCCAGACGUUGACACUUACAACACCCUCAUCAAGUCGUUCGCCGAAUCGGGCUCCACUCGCUCUGCCUACUCGAUGAUCGAUGAAAUGCGCAAGAGGAAAAUCAAGCCCAAUUCGACCACUUUUACUAAUGCGAUCUCGGGUUUCUAUAGGGAGCAGAAGUUGGAGGACGUGGAUAAGGUUUUGGUGUUGAUGAAGGAGUAUGGGUUAAACCCAGGUUCGAAUUCAGUGUAUAAUGUGAGGAUUGAGGGGCUGUGUAAGUUGAAGAGGACGAGGGAGGCGAAGGAUUUGUAUAGGGAGAUGUUGUUGAAGGGGAUGAAGCCGAAUUGGGUGACAUAUAAUCAUUUGAUUGUUGGGUUUUGUAAAGAGGGGAUGUUGGAAGAGGCUAAAAGAGUGUAUGAGGAGAUGGGGAAGAAAAGGGUUGUGCCUGGAGAGGGUGGGUGUUAUUUUAGCUUGAUACAUUAUUUGUGUCAGGGUGGGGAUUUUGAGGCUGCGCUGGGAGUUUUUAAGGAUGCAAUGAGGAAAAAUUGGAUGCCAGGGUUUAAGACAAUGAAGAUGCUAGUGAAUGGACUGGUGAAGAUUGGGAAAGUUGAGGAGGGUAAGGAGAUUGUUGAGAAGAUAAAGGAGAAGUUCCCGACCAAAGCUGAGAUGUGGAAAGAGGUUGAAGAAAGCUUCCCCAAGCAGUAGCCUGUUGAGGAGAAGGAAUGGGCUUUUUUGGCAUGAGGAUUAGCAAAACAAGAGGUCUCACCUGGAAAAGCUCCUGGAGCAAUGAACAUCAAGAUGUUAUUUAGAAUAUUCCCAGCCUCUUUUGCACUUCUCUAUAAGGUUCCAAGUUUCGAUGAAGACUGACACUAGCAAUUUAAUCCAGCUUAGAGGCCUGUGAGAUCAUUUAUUUCGAGGGUACUUUCUGGCAAGAGAUUAAUAGCGAACUUUCAAUCUUGAAGAGGGUUUUAAUUAAGCUGACAUCAGUUUAAGCUUCACUGAAAAUUGUUGUUGAAGGGCUCUGAUGAUUUUUGUGGUUUUAAAAAUUACUUUCUGACGAGCUGUGAAGCUAUCAGAUUAAAUAAUUUUCCAAACUCGGUGUUCUUUAAAUGUUAGAUUACGUUGAGUUUAUGGCAAGGGUGAUUUCUUGGGUUAAAAAGGGUAAAUGUAGCUUAAAUGAUAUUCUGAUGUUUGCACUUUA